GAUGAAGAACGUAGCGAAAUGCGAUACUUGGUGUGAAUUGCAGAAUCCCGUGAGCCAUCGAGUCUUUGAACGCAAGUUGCGCCCGAAGCCAUUAGGCCGAGGGCACGCCUGCCUGGGCGUCACACGUCGUUGCCCCCCCAUCUACUCCUUCGGGAUUGCGGGGGGCGGAUGAUGGCCUCCCGUGCGCCUCGUCGCGCGGUUGGCAUAAAUGCCAAGUCCUCGGCGACGCACGCCACGACAAUCGGUGGUUGCGAAACCUCGGUUGCCCGUCGUGUGCGGUCGUCGCGCAUCGAGGGCUCGAAAAAAUUGUCGGGCUCCGGCUCGGCUUUCAACGCGACCCCAGGUCAGGCGGGGUUACCCGCUGAAUUUAAGCAUAUCAAUAAGCGGAGGA
This 391-nucleotide unclassified non-coding RNA is filed under the name soil metagenome. RNAcentral describes it as "partial contains 5.8S ribosomal RNA, internal transcribed spacer 2, and large subunit ribosomal RNA". The stretch from base 1 to 122 matches the Rfam family "5.8S ribosomal RNA", at positions 35 to 154 of the family's 154-position model. The record is from RNAcentral.